Molecule: ribosomal RNA, 584 nt
Filed under: uncultured bacterium
Lineage: Bacteria
Description: partial 16S ribosomal RNA
Rfam family: Bacterial small subunit ribosomal RNA
Source: RNAcentral
UGGGGAAUUUUGGACAAUGGGCGAAAGCCUGAUCCAGCAAUGCCGCGUGUGUGAAGAAGGCCUUCGGGUUGUAAAGCACUUUUGUCCGGAAAGAAAUCCUUGGCUCUAAUACAGUCGGGGGAUGACGGUACCGGAAGAAUAAGCACCGGCUAACUACGUGCCAGCAGCCGCGGUAAUACGUAGGGUGCAAGCGUUAAUCGGAAUUACUGGGCGUAAAGCGUGCGCAGGCGGUUUGCUAAGACCGAUGUGAAAUCCCCGGGCUCAACCUGGGAACUGCAUUGGUGACUGGCAGGCUAGAGUAUGGCAGAGGGGGGUAGAAUUCCACGUGUAGCAGUGAAAUGCGUAGAGAUGUGGAGGAAUACCGAUGGCGGAGGCAGCCCCCUGGGCCAAUACUGACGCUCAUGCACGAAAGCGUGGGGAGCAAACAGGAUUAGAUACCCUGGUAGUCCACGCCCUAAACGAUGUCAACUAGUUGUUGGGGAUUCAUUUCCUUAGUAACGUAGCUAACGCGUGAAGUUGACCGCCUGGGGAGUACGGUCGCAAGAUUAAAACUCAAAGGAAUUGACGGGGUCAUGCUGUUUCCU